Molecule: long non-coding RNA, 905 nt
Filed under: Manacus vitellinus (golden-collared manakin)
Lineage: Eukaryota; Metazoa; Chordata; Aves; Passeriformes; Pipridae
Description: lncRNA (ENSMVIG00005003044.1)
Source: RNAcentral
GGAAAAAGAAAUGAUUUUGAAUCAGAUGUUGAGAGGAAUUUGUGGAGAGUUAAUAUACUUUCUGUACUGUUGCUGGGCAUUGUUUUUGCAUGCAGUAAGCUGUCUUGCACUGUUAAGGUGAAAGUACUGUUAAUGUACAUAGUACUGGGGUUUGGCUGUGUAAUGCAAUUUUAUUUCCUGGCACAGGGUUUAUAUAAUCUAUGUGUAGUUAAGACCAUUGAGAAUUUAUCUCUCUGAGGCAAGGAGGACUAGUGUUUUACUAAGAAUUAAUUUUGUUGGGCACAGCUGUCAUUAGUGGCUUCUGCCCACUGUCUGACAAAUGCUGUAGCAUUUUCUUCAAAAGCUAAUAAUGUUUCCUUCCACAACCAAAAUAGCAGAUCAAGGAAGAUACCGAGUAUCUCCUUAAUUUUAUCAUGUACUAGGGCUUGGCAGUUGUUGUCUCUUGGUUGUUGGGUUUUUUUCCUCUUAAUUAGAGUGAGAUUUCCUCAUGAAUAAUGAAAUUAAUGUCUUUUGCAGCCAAAAUAAACACCAUAUGGUCAGGGAGAAAGGGACCAGGAAAAGAGGAAGGCGCAGCAGCUGAAGCUGAUAGGAGACAAAAUGGACUGAAUGAGGGGCCAGGGGCUCAUACUGUUCCAGCAAGGAAAUCCUGAAGGCUUUCAGAGCAGUAGCAGCAGAACUGGUGAUACAUUCUGAAUAACAUGGACUAGAAGCUGCUCUUUCUUCGUGAGUUCUGUAUCUGGAUUUUGUCAAUAUUCACUUUCUGCACCCAUUUCAUGAUAACACCGUUGAUUUAUUCAUUAAAUCAUAAGUGUCAAAAGAACUGAAUUGUGCAUCAGAACUUCCCCAUUAGCUGGUGAGUUUUGCCAUUUAUCUUCCAUUUUCUGUCUCCAUAAAAUAGAAACUAC